This is a long non-coding RNA of Apus apus (common swift), 2551 nucleotides long. RefSeq lists it as uncharacterized. The transcript has 3 exons. Lineage: Eukaryota; Metazoa; Chordata; Aves; Apodiformes; Apodidae. The record is from RefSeq and is a predicted model, not a curated record.
CGGCGGCAGCGCGGGCUGGGGCUGCUCCCGGGAGCCCCGCGCCGGCCCCGCACCGGGCUCCGCAACCACGUGAAAUCUUGGCUUUGGUGAGGGAAAGAAGAAGGAACUCCCAGUGUUGGGCAGCCUUCCCUGCUGGUGGAUCCUCCCCGUGGCUCAUGACUUCCAGGAGAAGGCUGGAUGCUUUUUUUUUUUGUGUGUGGUCAUGCUGAGCCAGCCCAUCCAGCUGAACUUUGCUGCCCCAGUUUCCUGGAUGAAGUAACAACCCUGCAAUUCUGCUUGAUUUAUUAUUUUUUUUCUUCCCUGCUGUUCUAAGUUGGUGUCCCAAGUAACAUCCACGUGGUUUAACAUCUGAGCCACUCCCUCCACCUCCUGGUGUUUCAGCUGAUGUCAGCCUGGGUCUCCUGACUGGAGAAAUGCUUUGGAAGAGAACUUGUUACAGCCACUUCCCUUCUGGACUUAACAUCUUCACUGCUUGGUGUCCUGGCACCCUGGCCAAAUCCUGGGUGUUCAGGCUUUGCUGUUUCAGCUUCAGUCCCUAUCUGGGGAUUUUCAGCCCAUGCAGUUGUGAGAGUAAGUGUCUUGGCCACAGCAGGUGUGAGGAAGCCCCCUCUGCUUCCAGAGAAGGUGGCCACCAGCUCUCAAGGAUCUGGUGUGGUGGUAUUUGAAGCAAUUUGCUUCUGUCUCCCCUCUCUUCUGCUGCCUGUUGCUAUGGAGCUUGGCCAGCACCUUCAUCCACCUCAGCAUGAAGGCCCAACCUGGAUGCUUGAGCUCAUCCAGCAACCUCCUGUCCUCCCACCCUGCACCCGAUUCUGGAGCUCGUCAGAUCCAUCUGUUGGCAAAGCCCAUCCUGGAAACUGGCCAAAAAAUGCUUCACCUCAAAUCCUGGGGUUCAUGAGCUGAGCUGGCCUGGAGAGGCCCUGAUGAACAGUGAAGGUUGUGGGAGGGGAGCAGGGGUUACUGGAAACAGGGAAAAAAGGUAAAUGAGGUGUGUGUGGUGGCUUUUAGAAGUACCCAAGAACAUCAAAGGCAGGGAGUCCAGCCUGAGCUACAGGAGUUUCAGGCAGAAAUCUUUUUUAUUUCUUUUUAUUUGUUGGACUGGAAAGUCCCUGAUUUGACUGGUUUCAGUCUUGGUCAUCAUUGCAUAUUUAGACAGGUUUUGGGCAGUGUGGCCAUGCAUGACUGAGCAGGCCUACUCAUCACAUGGAGCAACUGAGGGGAGGAACUGAUCCCUCGGCCCAAACAGAACAUUCCUCUGGCUGUCUUAAACCUGUCAUGGAGCUGCCUGGAUCCUAAGAAAGUCCAAGAUCCCUGCAGAUGAGCCUGGUACUGACAGCUUUUAAGUGGGAAUAUCUUUCCACCACACUGACCAACACCACGGGGCAACACGAGCUGGUGGCCACAGUCCAAGAGGCUGGAGGUCUAACCAGGGUUGGAUGAUUCCACCCAGUCUGUGGAACAUCUGCCAACGGAGCUGGUGCUGUGGUCUGAAACAGCCAGAUGUGAUUGCUAAGGACCGUGAGGACUUCUCUCCAGCAGCACUUGCUGCCCUUCCCUCUUAUCUCUCAGGCAGCCCGUUCUCCAACUGGUUUCUUGGUUGCUGAAGUGUUGCUAUCUGUGGGCAGGUUCCAACAUCUGCUGAGCUGAAGAUGACACCUUAGACAUGGUCCUCAUAUCCGACCCUGUUAGUACCAAGGUCAGGUCUUGCCCCAGCAGAGCCUGCUGACUGUUCCCCCCAUUUUAUUUCUCUCCCUGCCCAGUCUCGUUGCUUUUGUUUGGUUUGCCCCCCCCGCCUACCCCCCCCUGACAAAUUCUGUGGUGGAAGAAGUUUGAGACCCAUGUUCUCAGGUUUUGAGGUGCUUUUUCUUUUCUUCCCAGGUUUUCCCAGCAGGUGGGAUGGGAGCAGUUACAGCUCAGGGAAAGCAGCAGUGGGUCAGUCCCCCACCAGCUGGUCCUGGCUUGUGGAAGGACCUGUGUCCAGCUCAUCCAGAGGCUGUGGCUUCACCUCAGCUUGAGGAACCUCAUGGGUGUUCUCCAUGUCCCUUUCCAGCAUGGCAGGAACCAGCUCUUCCUGCAGACUCCCAGGAAACUCCCUCUGCUUUCCACCUGACCUCACCAAACCUCUGCCUCACCUCACCAGAGAAAAUCCCUCCAGUUCUUUUAAGCCAAACUGAGCUGACCUCAUCUCUUCACUCCCUCUAAAUAAGCCAUGAAAUAAGUUCCUGGAGUAACCUGCUCAACAAGAGCCAUCAGCACAUCCUGCCUGACAGAGGUGGGGGACAAGGUGCUUGUUAUUGUGGUGGAGUUGAUGCUUUAUUGGGCUAUUCCUUAAGCUGGUGCAUGUUCCUUAAGCUGGUGUUUAACUGUCAGUUCCCUGCAAAAGCUUCUUUCUUCUCAUCAUGCUCCAAAGCAUUUGCCUGCCUGCCCCUUCCUGGGUGGCUCAAGAGAAAAACAAAGUGUCUGUUCAAAUCUGAUGCUGCACAAACUGCCAGAAUUGCACCUGGGAUGAAACCCCACCUUUAAAAAUAAUAAAAAAAAGGACAUUUUUCCUGGU